This 61-nucleotide transfer RNA is filed under the name Episcapha fortunii. RNAcentral describes it as "tRNA-His". The record is from RNAcentral. Lineage: Eukaryota; Metazoa; Arthropoda; Insecta; Coleoptera; Erotylidae.
AUUUAGAUAGUUUAUUAAAAUAUUAAUUUGUGGAAUUAAAGAUGUACUGUUACUCUAAAUA